This is a non-coding RNA of Paramuricea clavata, 228 nucleotides long. The record is from the annotation of a GenBank genome assembly. NCBI's taxonomy places the organism in Eukaryota, Metazoa, Cnidaria, Anthozoa, Malacalcyonacea, Plexauridae.
CGCACACGUCUCGCGCGAAGGCAGAUGACAUUUGAAUCUUUGUUUACAAAUUGUAUCAAAGUAUUUAUUAUUACGAGAAAAAUCACAAUUGUAUGCAUUAAAUAGAUGCCUUGAACGAUGUCUUUGGAUAUAAAUGCAUGUCUGAAAGCAUUCUCCCUCGCGUUUGGCCAAUACAGUGGACAUCCCAAUGAACAGACGCUCAAGUAUGUCGAAAGACAGAUGGACGUA